AGUGAACGCUGGCGGUAGGCCUAACACAUGCAAGUCGAGCGGCUGCACAGUACGAGCUCCUUCUUACGGCUGCCGACUGGUGGAUAGUUGCGAAAAAUCUCCGUAUUUGUUUUUUCUAGCGGCCUAACGCGGGCACUAAUACCGCAUACGUGCUGACGACCUACGGGUGAAAGCUUCGGACCUUCGGCUCUCGCAUGAUCCUAUGUCCCGAGGUCGGAUUAGCUAGUUGGUGGGGUAAAGGCCCACCAAGGCGACGAUCCGUAGCUGGUCUGAGAGGAUGAUCAGUCACACUGGAACUGAGACACGGUCCAGACUCCUACGGGAGGCAGCAGUGGGGAAUAUUGGACAAUGGGCGAAAGCCUGAUCCAGCCAUGCCGCGUGUGUGAAGAAGGUCUUCGGGUUGUAAAGCCCUUUAGGUGGGGAGGAAGGGCAGUAAGUUAAUACCUUGCUGUUCUGACGUUACCCAAAGAAUAAGCACCGGCUAACUUCGUG
RNAcentral lists this ribosomal RNA (492 nucleotides) under uncultured bacterium. RNAcentral describes it as "partial 16S ribosomal RNA". It matches the Rfam family "Bacterial small subunit ribosomal RNA", at positions 29 to 507 of the family's 1533-position model. The record is from RNAcentral.